This 253-nucleotide ribosomal RNA is filed under the name uncultured bacterium. Its description in RNAcentral is "partial 16S ribosomal RNA". It matches the Rfam family "Bacterial small subunit ribosomal RNA", at positions 524 to 776 of the family's 1533-position model. The record is from RNAcentral.
GACAGAGGAUGCAAGCGUUAUCCGGAAUUAUUGGGCGUAAAGCGUCCGUAGGUGGCCUAUCAAGUCUGCUGUUAAACCCCAGGGCUCAACUCUGGAUCAGCAGUGGAAACUGAUAGGCUAGAGUGCGGUAGGGGCAGAGGGAAUUCCCGGUGUAGCGGUGAAAUGCGUAGAUAUCGGGAAGAACACCAGUGGCGAAGGCGCGCUGCUGGGCCGUAACUGACACUCAUGGACGAAAGCUAGGGGAGCGAAAGGG